UCCCCGUUACCGGGGCAGUCUAGCCAGAAAAAUUCAACUGACUAUAAGGGUUGCGCUCGUUGAAGGACUUAACCUAACAUCUCACGACACGAGCUGACGACGGCCAUGCAGCACCUGUCACUGCGGCCCGAAGGCACAGCCUCCUUUCAGAGGCCUUGGCAGGAUGUCAAACCCUGGUAAGGUUCUUCGCUUACCGUCGAAUUAAACAACACGCUCCACCGCUUGUGCGGGUCCCCGUCAAUUCCUUUAUGUUUUAAGCUUGCGCUCGUACUCCACAGGCGGGAUGCUUAACGCGUUAGCUUCGCUACUACCAGGGUCGAUACUGAUAACAGCUAGCAUCCAUAGUUUACGGCGUGGACUAC
This 362-nucleotide unclassified non-coding RNA is filed under the name uncultured bacterium. RNAcentral's name for it is "contains 16S-23S intergenic spacer region". The record is from RNAcentral.